This 71-nucleotide transfer RNA is filed under the name Dasypus novemcinctus (nine-banded armadillo). Its description in RNAcentral is "tRNA (ENSDNOG00000041926.1)". Lineage: Eukaryota; Metazoa; Chordata; Mammalia; Cingulata; Dasypodidae. The record is from RNAcentral.
CAAGGAGUAGUUUAAUUAGAAUGUCAGCUUUGGGUGUUGAUGGUGGGGUUAGUGUAGUAUCCUCUCCUUGA